UUUUCUUUUAAUGUCUUCCAACGAUGGUGAGUAUAGGGGGCGAAAACCGUCAUGGCAACCAAAGUCCUCGUUUGCCACCUCCUUGGGCUUGGUCUGAGCAUACUCCUUGGUUCACCCUCAAGACCAACUCAUCAUCUGGGUGCCGAAUCUCCAACCAUCGAAGCACAAGCAGUCUUGUGCAUGGGUUCUAUGAUUUUUG
RNAcentral lists this long non-coding RNA (199 nucleotides) under Elaeis guineensis (African oil palm). RNAcentral's name for it is "long non-coding RNA (EGUI_LNC047161)". Lineage: Eukaryota; Viridiplantae; Streptophyta; Magnoliopsida; Arecales; Arecaceae. The record is from RNAcentral.